UCAGGAAUAGCACAACACUUUAGUGCAGGUUUAUAUGACAUCCAAACAACCUGAAGUGAAAGGACUGGUGGACCAGACAGAGAACUACACCACCUUCAACCUGCUUUGGCUCAAUACCAAUAGAGGGAUGAUGCUGAAUUAGUAACAGACCAGAACAGUGUGAACCAAGACUGGUAUAAAAAAACAUAAAAGCUUAUAAAUUAUAAUAAAUAAAAUAAUAGCAAAAUGUACUGGAGUUUCUCCGCUGCGGACAAUGUAAAGACAUCUUAUUGCGUUCUUUUUGCAUUGAGUAAAUCAAUGCCUUGUCUGG
Long non-coding RNA from Sinocyclocheilus grahami, 310 nucleotides. RefSeq lists it as uncharacterized. The transcript has 3 exons. The record is from RefSeq and is a predicted model, not a curated record. NCBI's taxonomy places the organism in Eukaryota, Metazoa, Chordata, Actinopteri, Cypriniformes, Cyprinidae.